This 667-nucleotide ribosomal RNA is filed under the name uncultured bacterium. RNAcentral describes it as "bacterial SSU rRNA". It matches the Rfam family "Bacterial small subunit ribosomal RNA", at positions 9 to 659 of the family's 1533-position model. The record is from RNAcentral.
GGGUUUGAUCAUGGCUCAGGACGAACGCUGGCGGCGUGCUUAACACAUGCAAGUCAAGGAGAACGGAUCCUUCGGGAUACUAUUAAACUGGCGAACGGGUGAGUAACGCGUAGGCAACCUGCCUUGGAGAUUGGGAUAACCCCGGGAAACCGGAGCUAAUACCAAAUAAUGCAGCGGAUCCUUCGGGAUAUGUUGUUAAAGUGGGCUUCGGCUCACACUUCAAGAUGGGCCUGCGUCCGAUUAGCUUGUUGGUGAGGUAAUGGCUCACCAAGGCGAUGAUCGGUAGCUGGUCUGAGAGGAUGAUCAGCCACACUGGGAUUGAGAUACGGCCCAGACUCCUACGGGAGGCAGCAGUGGGGAAUUUUGCGCAAUGGACGAAAGUCUGACGCAGCAACGCCGCGUGAUCGAUGAAGCUUCUAGGAGUGUAAAGAUCUGUCGUGAGGGAAGAAAAAUCUGGAUGUAAAUAAUGUUCAGACGUGACGGUACCUCACAAGAAAGCACCGGCUAACUUCGUGCCAGCAGCCGCGGUAAUACGAGGGGUGCUAGCGUUGUCCGGAAUUACUGGGCGUAAAGGGUUCGUAGGCGUCUUGCCAAGUUGAUCGUUAAAGCCACCGGCUUAACCGGUGAUCUGCGAUCAAAACUGGCGAGAUAGAAUAUGUGAGGGGAA